CCUACGGGAGGCAGCAGUGAGGAAUAUUGGUCAAUGGACGCAAGUCUGAACCAGCCAUGCCGCGUGCAGGAUGACGGCUCUAUGAGUUGUACACUGCUUUUGUACGAGGGUAAACGCAGAUACGCGUAUCUGUCUGAAAGUAUCGUACGAAUAAGGAUCGGCUAACUCCGUGCCAGCAGCCGCGGUAAUACGGAGGAUUCAAGCGUUAUCCGGAUUUAUUGGGUUUAAAGGGUGCGUAGGCCGUUGGAUAAGUUAGAGGUGAAAUCCCGGGGCUCAACUUCGGAAUUGCCUCUGAUACUGUUCGGCUAGAGAGUAGUUGCGGUAGGCGGAAUGUAUGGUGUAGCGGUGAAAUGCUUAGAGAUCAUACAGAACACCGAUUGCGAAGGCAGCUUACCAAGCUACUUCUGACGUUGAGGCACGAAAGCGUGGGGAGCAAACAGGAUUAGAUACCCUUGUAGUC
This 460-nucleotide ribosomal RNA is filed under the name uncultured bacterium. RNAcentral describes it as "partial 16S ribosomal RNA". It matches the Rfam family "Bacterial small subunit ribosomal RNA", at positions 338 to 795 of the family's 1533-position model. The record is from RNAcentral.